CAAAGAAAUGGAAACUAAAGGGACAUCCCUCAAUUUGGGAAUGGCUGAACAAAUUGUGGCAGAUGAUGGUGACAGAAUACUAUUGUGCUCUGACAUAAACAGGAGGAUGAUCUCACAAAGAGUUGGAAAGACCUACAUUAAUUGAUGCACUGAAAUGAACAGAACCAGGAAAACAUUAUAAACAGUAACAGCAAUAGUGUGGAAUGAUCAAAUUUGAUAGACUUAGCUGCUCUCAGUGAUACAAUGAUUCAGACAGCAUUUUAGAUAGGUAGCCACAAACACAGAAAAGAUGUAGGAUGACAGGGGAUGGAAGAAAUAAGUCAGGGGGUUUUGAGGAUAAGCCUGAAAUAUGUUUCUUUGCAGGCAGUAGGGAAGGAGUCAGCAGACAGAGACUGAGAAUAAGUCAGAGUGUGGGGACAGAUUCCAGUUCCAUUGCCAUGUGGACCAUUUCAACUAUUUCAGGUCCUGAGCUCUGUGGCUCUCAGGCUCAUGAUAAAGUAGAGAACAAGGAAUACAAGAUGAAAGCAUGUGAUAGCUCUAUUGUGAAUUGACUGUAUGUUCAUCAAAUGAGAGAACAAAUGGAGCACUUUCAAAAUCAGAAGAAGCAAAGCAAUAAAGAAGUACUGAAUUUUCUGGUGAUAAACUAAGAAGAAGAAGCAAAUAUGAAAAUUACUCUUGUGCAAGGAGCUUGAUAUCUUUUAAACUUCUCUGAAAAAAUGAUGCAAAGAAAAGUCCAACAAUUAGAUUUAUUUUCUUGUCAAAUAGACAAAGAUAUCACAAUUAAAAAAGAACAAGUAGAUGAAUUAGUAGAAGAGGAGAUCAGCAGUGGCAAACCUGCAAUGGGAAAAGCUCCAAUGCAGUUUUCCUGGUUUUGCAAUGUCCAAGGAUACAAUUGGCGGAGCUUCUUUUAUUUUAAAAAACAUGAUGAACAAGUAAAGAAUGUGCACAAGCAGGAAGAAACUGACCAAAAGGUAAAUUUUCUUUAUGUGAAAUUUGUCAUAAAGAUUUAUGUGCAUUUCUCCAUUUUAAUUACUAGGUAAUAAGCUUGUAAAAUAAUCUCUAAGACCCUUUGGCAGUUUUCACUAUCAAUGGUUAUAUUAACAUAGGCCAAUCUAAGCUUUUAAAUAUUGUCUCUCUUGAUCUCUAGCUAUUUGAUGACGCCUCUGCUUCUUUUAUACCCCAAAGCUGCUGGUGUCUGACUAGAUAGAAACUAAAGUUGGCCAUUGAUUAAAGAGUAUUGGAAUGAAAAAAUAUAUCCUGAAAUUUGAUUAUAAAAAAGUAAGCGGUGAAGAACUUCUUGAAUUAGACAAUGACGCAUUAAAAGUAAGCUUCAGAAUUGGCUUUUUAUAUAUGGUAUAUAACCUUUUUUAUGGUGGACAUUGGAUGAAAAACAGUACAAAUAAUGGGAUUCCUAUAUAUGGCCCAUUUGACAACCUUAUGGUUUUAAGGAAAACAUGUUAACUACCUUUUUGAAUGUAGUUUCAAGAAAUGUUUUUUAAUGUGAUUUGCUCCCCCUUUUUUUAGUAUUCCUGCCAUAUGGUCAUUCCUUUUUAUUUCUAUUUAUUUAUUGAAACCUUAUAUCUUCCAUUUUAGAAUAUAUAACAUGUAUGUUUCCGAGGAAAAAAAGUUUUAAGAGGUGGGCAAUGUGAGGCAAGUGACUGUCUCAGCAUCAUACUUCUAGGGGGUCACAUUUGAAAUCAGGACCUCUUUUCACUAGGUCUGGUUCUCAAUCUAUUGAGCCACCAUUCUUUUUUUUCUUUUUUUAGAAUUCUAUCUAUUAACAAACACUGGAAAACAGAAAAGCCAUAUUUUAAUUUUUGACCAGGCAGAUUAACUUCAUUGAAACAGAUUAAAAAACAGUAAUCAUGGGAAAUGGCAAGCUUUCAUUUCAUUUAUAGUAAAUGAAAUAUCAAUAUUUUAACUUAUCUCUGAAAGUACCAAAUAAAUUAUUUCAAAAAGAUCA
This 1963-nucleotide long non-coding RNA is filed under the name Monodelphis domestica (gray short-tailed opossum). Its description in RNAcentral is "lncRNA (ENSMODG00000039047.1)". Lineage: Eukaryota; Metazoa; Chordata; Mammalia; Didelphimorphia; Didelphidae. The record is from RNAcentral.